This 279-nucleotide ribosomal RNA is filed under the name uncultured bacterium. RNAcentral's name for it is "partial 16S ribosomal RNA". It matches the Rfam family "Bacterial small subunit ribosomal RNA", at positions 506 to 784 of the family's 1533-position model. The record is from RNAcentral.
UGCCAGCAGCCGCGGUAAUACGGAGGGUGCAAACGUUGCUCGGAAUUAUUGGGCGUAAAGCGCGCGUAGGCGGCUGAGCAAGUUGGAUGUGAAAGCCCUGGGCUCAACCCAGGAAGUGCAUCCAAAACUGCUCGGCUUGAGUCUCGGAGGGGGGCAGGGAAUUCCCGGUGUAGAGGUGAAAUUCGUAGAUAUCGGGAGGAACACCAGUGGCGAAGGCGCUGCCCUGGACGAUGACUGACGCUGAGGUGCGAAAGCGUGGGGAGCAAACAGGAUUAGAUA